UUUCCGUAGGUGAACCUGCGGAAGGAUCAUUACUGAGUGAGGGCCCCUCGGGGUCCAACCUCCCACCCGUGUUUAACGAACCUUGUUGCUUCGGCGGACCCGCCUCACGGCCGCCGGGGGGCAUCUGCCCCCGGGCCCGCGCCCGCCGAAGCCACCUGUGAACGCUGUCUGAAGUAUGCAGUCUGAGACAAUUAUUAAAUUAAUUAAAACUUUCAACAACGGAUCUCUUGGUUCCG
This 236-nucleotide unclassified non-coding RNA is filed under the name plant metagenome. Its description in RNAcentral is "partial contains small subunit ribosomal RNA, internal transcribed spacer 1, and 5.8S ribosomal RNA". The record is from RNAcentral.